Zea mays is the source of this 617-nucleotide long non-coding RNA. RefSeq lists it as uncharacterized. The record is from RefSeq and is a predicted model, not a curated record. The transcript has 2 exons. NCBI's taxonomy places the organism in Eukaryota, Viridiplantae, Streptophyta, Magnoliopsida, Poales, Poaceae.
GCGACGCACAGGACUACAGGACGCCAGGUCCAAGCUCCAGUUCGCCUGUCACUAUCAGGUUGCAACUUUUUAAGUGAUGGAAUCAGCCGUGGAAGGAAAGGGGAGGAAUGCAAGUGAUGGAACUGAUUCAGAAAGUAAUUCGUUUGACAAGAGGGAUGAUAUGUCUGAAGAUGAACUGGUAGUGCUUGGUGGAAAAAUUGAUGAUUCAGCGGACAAUGUCAAUAUUGAUGAAUCUGAGGACAAUGGAAGUAAAAAAGGAGUCAAGAGAAGGCGCAAGAGGGUGCAGAUGAAGGCUACAGCUGAAAGGAGAUCUGAAUUCUAAUACUCUUUGUUAGAAUAUAGGGGAAACAUGAAUUAUUUAGUGCUAUUUGUAAACUAAUUAGAAUUGCCUUCACAGAAUUUGGAAGAAUUGGAUGGAGACAAGUAGACAACUACAAGACAAGCUAAGCUAAGGAGUAAGGACGUCAAGAGUCAAGACUCAAGAGAAAAGAUGCAUCAUUUAAAUUAAUUUUGUCGUUGAAACUUUGAGAUACUGAAUAUUUUGAGCUUAUCAAUGGAUUAUGCAUUGCUCUUGUAUACUUUGAGAUACUGCUGCUGGUUUAAAAUGUCUUAUUGUA